This is a non-coding RNA of Oryza glaberrima (African rice), 202 nucleotides long. Lineage: Eukaryota; Viridiplantae; Streptophyta; Magnoliopsida; Poales; Poaceae. The record is from Rfam.
AAUAAACGGAGCCAUGUAUGUUUAUGUGUCCAACUUUGAUAGGCCGCCUUAUUUAAAAAAAAUAAUUAGUAUUUAUAUUGUUAUUAGAUUAUAAAACAUGAAUAGUACUUUAUGUGUGACUUAUGUUUUUAAGUUUUUUUAAAAAAAAUUUAAAUAAGACGGAUGAUUAAAUAUGGACACGGAAAUUAUGACUGCGCUUAUU